This 116-nucleotide ribosomal RNA is filed under the name Pteropus alecto (black flying fox). The record is from RNAcentral. Lineage: Eukaryota; Metazoa; Chordata; Mammalia; Chiroptera; Pteropodidae.
GUCUGUGGCCAUGCCACCCUGAACAAGCCUGAUGUCUGAUCUUGGAAGCUCAGCAGGGUCGAGCCUGGUUAGUUCUUGGAUGGGAGACCACUUAGGAAGACCAAGUGCUGUAGGUG